UACGGAGGGUGCGAGCGUUGUCCGGAAUCAUUGGGCGUGAAGCGCGCGUAGGUGGCCAUGUAAGUCCGCUGUGAAAGUCAAAGGCUCAACCUUUGAAAGCCGGUGGAUACUGCAUGGCUAGAGUACGGAAGAGGCGAGUGGAAUUCCUGGUGUAGCGGUGGAAUGCGCAGAUAUCAGGAGGAACACCAAUAGCGAAGGCAGCUCGCUGGGACGUUACUGACACUGAGGCGCGAAAGCGUGGGGAGCGAACAGG
RNAcentral lists this ribosomal RNA (253 nucleotides) under uncultured bacterium. RNAcentral's name for it is "partial 16S ribosomal RNA". It matches the Rfam family "Bacterial small subunit ribosomal RNA", at positions 524 to 776 of the family's 1533-position model. The record is from RNAcentral.